Esox lucius (northern pike) is the source of this 404-nucleotide long non-coding RNA. Lineage: Eukaryota; Metazoa; Chordata; Actinopteri; Esociformes; Esocidae. The record is from Ensembl.
GUAGACUGCAUAGUACAGAUACAGACUGAACCAGGUAUUUGGUAGACUACAUACUGUAGACUGGCCCAGGUACUAGGUAGACUACAUACUGUAGACUGGUCCAGGUAGUUGGUAGACUACAUAAUACGGAUACAGACUGGUCCAGGUAGUAGGUAGACUACAUAGUACAGAUACAGACUGAACCAGGUAUUUGGUAGACUACAUACUGUAGACUGGUCCAGGUAGUUGGUAGACUACAUAAUACAGAUACAGACUGGCCCAGGUAGUAGGUAGACUACAUAAUACGGAUACAGACUGGUCCAGGUAGUAGGUAGACUACAUAAUACGGAUACAGACUGGUCCAGGUAGUAGGUAGAUUCUGAGAAAAGCUACAGUACCAUUUGUUCUGCAUCGGGCCAUGAAUG